GGUACCGAAGGCUCUGCCCGUGGAGUGAAAAUUGUCUGAAGGUGGUUGGAGGUCACAAGGUAGCCUUAUAUUUGUGGGUCUAAUCUAAGGACAUCAAUGGAAAGUACAAUUUGAAGGCAUACUCCAGGAAAAUGCCCUCAUUUAAAGAAAUCCAGAUCACAGCAGGACUCUGCCAUAGUCCUGAUAAAGAACAGGACAGUGGCCUGAGAAAUGGGCAUGGAUGAGAUGGCACUGACGAGUGAAGGACAUGGCAGAGGGGCUUGGGAACCCGUGCUCAGCACGGUCUGCCUCCUGUUUGCACCUUUAUGGUUCAGUACAAGGCACCCGCUUCCUGACAUGGGCUCCUAAGUGAAAGACUUUAGCUUCAGAGAAGCAUGAAAAAGACAAUAAAGUUUUAAUUAAAUAAUAAUAAAAUAAUAAUAAUAAAAGCUACAGAGGCUGUCAGAGAAGAUGCAAACCAAUUUACAAAGCAGGCUCAGCCCUGCAAGGUACCGGAGCUGCCCGAAGCCCUGCCCGGAGCCUCUCCCCAGCUGGCCGGGCGCUGGGUCUCACAGGGCAGCUCCAGAUGCCCCCAUUCCUCUUUCCACAGCGAAGCUCCUGUGAACCAGGGUCUCCUUCAUCUCCCACAAAAGCUGCUGACCUCAGUCGCAAUGAUAAUAAUAACACAGACUGUGUGGGUUGUUUAGUUAAUGAGCCUCAAAUUCUUGGGCGAAAAGAAAGGUUUGGGGACUUGGCUGGCGAAAUGAGGGAUGGAGCCAGGAGCCACGACCUCCUGGUCCCAUGAUCAGUCUGGGGGGAAGGCUGUUGUGUUUGGCAAGGACCAGCAAAAAGCAGCUGCCCUGGAUGCUUUGGGCUGCUUUACCUGCUUCAGUUCUCCAUCCUCACCCACCCGGCUGGGAAACGCAUCUGCUGAGGACAUGGUUUCUCUUCCACAUCAAAAGCAAGAACUUAUGACAAUUCCCACUGCAAAUGUCAUGACCUUGCAUAAAAAAGGAAGACUGAUGGCUAUAGUAGAACUGAGGCAUAACAAAGAGAAGAGACAAGACUGGGCUUAUCCUAAACCACUUCUGAACUGUCGUUUUCUUCUUCCAGCAAGGUGCUUAGGGAAACAUUGGGACCAUAGGUGGUGUAGCCACAGAAUAAAACAAAUUUUUUUGUCCUUACUUUGUGAAGUUUGCUCCAAAAGACCUGGCACAGACAUUAGUGGAUGUCCUCUUCAGAUGUAUGGAGAAAUAAGGAUGAAUUAGUUUUGCCUCACUGCAUGGAAACAUUAAGUUAAAGGCCCAUUUACUGAAAAGGUCUAUGUGAUGUAGGAACCAAAUGCCAAGCACUGCAGCUUUUCCUUCUCCUCCAUACUGAUGUUUCAGCUCCAGAGCAUGCACACAGCAGUCACAGAGGCUGUGCCACCUGCAGCAGCACGUUGGUGCUGGAAUCCCAAAGCCACCUCUGAACCAUCCCUGAAAGCUGAGGGAAAGCUUGCUCUGACCAGCAGCCACACGGGCUGUUUUGGUUUUGAUUUGCAGCAGAUUUGAUAAGAAAGCUCUCAGGAAAAACAAAUUUCCUCUUGGACUCAGUCGAAUUGGGCACAUAUUCCGGCACACCGAGUUCCCUUUCCUAAAAGCUCAUGAAGUAGGCUUCUAAAAUUAGGAAUAAGAGGUGAAGUCCUGGCCCUUUUUCAAGCAGGGACCAUUAUCCCCAGGACCAGCUCUCACUUGAGGGUCACUGUAGACCCUCAUCGAUGGAGAGCAGUGACAAGAAGAAAAAAAAAAAAGUCUUGAUAACAAUCUUUUAUCUCUAACUGUUAUUCCAGUGGUCUCUUCUGUUUCUCCUGCUGCCCUCACACUGUCUCAUUCCGUAGCCUGUAUCCACCACCAGUGCUGCUGUACAAACAGUUCGGUGUUUGGCCCAGAGACGAUGAAUCGCUGGUGCUCAGCUGCUCCAGCAGUGUCACGUUCCAAAUUAAGCACCUCCGUUUUCACUGGGGUCAUUGCUCAUAUGCAGCAGUUUCUUUUUUAUUUAGUCUAGUCCAAAAAAAGGGCAAUUACUAUCUCCCUGCAAAUGCCAGGGCUGCAGGGGUUGGCAGCUGUGACAUCCAGAUGCC
RNAcentral lists this long non-coding RNA (2101 nucleotides) under Anas platyrhynchos platyrhynchos (common mallard). RNAcentral describes it as "lncRNA (ENSAPLG00000023583.1)". The record is from RNAcentral. Lineage: Eukaryota; Metazoa; Chordata; Aves; Anseriformes; Anatidae.